Molecule: long non-coding RNA, 1486 nt
Organism: Tripterygium wilfordii
Lineage: Eukaryota; Viridiplantae; Streptophyta; Magnoliopsida; Celastrales; Celastraceae
Exons: 2
Source: RefSeq, a predicted model, not a curated record
UUUCUCACCAAUUGCACACGUCUUUCGCAAUCGCUUAUAUGAUCAAUCCCGCUUAUCCUACUACAGCUGCGGCGGCCCAACUAGCCAUUCCAGAGGUGACGGGAGAACAAUGGCUUGCCUCGGAUAAUCUGCCGCCAUUGAAAACCCUCGGCCCACUCAGCUGUCAGAGAUACGUGCGGGUCCGGGUAUUGAAAUGGGUGGAUAAAACCCGACAAAUUCCGCCGCUUAACAAUUGGACUUAGCCCACUAUGGAACCGAACGGGCCGGCAGAAGUGCGAUGGGUCACAGAAGUGCUUGGGCUUUUCCUGGACUUGUUUUUUAAAGGACUUAGCCCACUAUGGGACCUAACGGGCCGGCAGCAGUGUGAUGGGUCACAGAAGUGCUUGGGCUUUUCCUGGACCUUUUUUUUAAAGCACAUAUCAAAGGAAAAUUUUAAUCACAGCCGGACUUAAGUUGACUUCGCGUUGCGUUGACUCUUUGUUUUUUAGUGCUCCCUUCAUAACACCCCAUGGUUCAUACCCAUAUGCUUCGAAAACAAAGUUCUUCUACGAGGUCUCUACCUGUGCUUUGAUGCUGACAUGAGGCGCAGAGGGUCGCCGUUGCAAAUGUGAACAGGUGCAAGUGGCGCGCCGAGGACACCAAGCAACAGCCUCAGAUUCCACCGCUUGAAGGCUGAGCCAACAUCUAAUGGUGUCAUCGCAAACCUCAGACUUCCGGAUCUCUCAAUCAUGGCAAGCUUUUACUUCUAGAUCUUGCAUCACUGAGUGCUACUCAUCCCCCAGCAAGAUUGCAACAAUAAGAUUUCUCAAAGCUUCUUCUAGAUCUUGCAUAUCUCUCAAAGCUUGCUCGUUCUAGAUCUUGCAUCACUGCUGCACACAUCAUUUCUCUCCUUGAGGUUUUCUGAUGAGGCUCUUUAUUGAGUGUGGUGAAUGUGACUGCCGAUUACUUCAUUGGAAUCAAAUUGAUCAAGAUUAAUGGAAAAAGUUGUGAGAUUACCCUCUACCCCUGUUUUUACUCUGUUUUUAUAGCUUGGGGUGUACUAGGAAAAUAUUGCAGAUUUAGUGUACUUUUUAUAUAUUUAUAAAAAAUUUAAAUUCUAUGGGGUCCCCCUAAUAAGGGGUGUGUUUAGUAAACUUAAGGGUUUGACUAAAUUUUUCCCAAACAAAAGCAGAGAAGUAAAGGGCCAAGCCCAACAAUAUGCAAUCCUAUAACAUCCUAUAUAAGUAGUUUUGUAGUUGGGUGUUUAUUUUAUUUUUCAUGGGGUAGUUGGAUUGGGUUAGAAAACAGGGAAACUGAGUGAUGUUGCAGGCCAUAAGAUUCCCUUCUCCACUUCAAAAUGUUAAGAAAACUAUGAAGACAAGUAAUAAACAAUGGUGAUAAUUGCAAAUGAUGUCUGUUUGAUUAUAAAAUUAAACAGGACUUACUAAAACUUUUUUUUUUCCCUUUUCUUUUAUUUGUAGAUAACACAGAGUUUAAACAUAUAGUC